UGUAGGAGCUGCCGCAGGCUGCGAUCUUUUGAUUGUGAAUUCCAAGAUCAAAAGAUCGCAGCCUGCGGCAGCUCCUACA
Molecule: unclassified non-coding RNA, 79 nt
Filed under: Pseudomonas umsongensis
Lineage: Bacteria; Pseudomonadati; Pseudomonadota; Gammaproteobacteria; Pseudomonadales; Pseudomonadaceae
Source: RNAcentral